CCUGCUGAAUUUUAACAUAUUAGUCAGUGGAGGAAAACAAAACUAACCAGGAUUCCCUCAGUAAUGGUGAAUGAACAGGGAAGAGCCCAAUGCUUAAUUCCCACUCCGUGGUGGGGCAUGGGCCAUAUGGCAUACAGAAGACCCACUCCUGGUGCUGCACUCAGUGGGGGUCCAAGUCUUUUUGAUCAAGGUAUAGCCCAUGGAAUGUGUGAAGCUGGUAGCGGCCCCCAUUAUACAUGGACUGGAUCUUCUUGGAGGCAGGUUGUUUGCAAAUGCAGCCCCAAGUGGGUGCUAAACUCCAUGUACAGCUAAGUUCCAGCCUGAGACUGAUAGUCAACAAGUAUAUAAGGGAAAGUUAAAAAGAACUUUGAAGAGAGAGUUUAAGAGUGUUAAGUCCAGACUAGCUCCCUGGAGCCCUCAGGAUCAGCUGGAAUCAGGAUAAGUAAAACUCCUUGGUUUUUAGGGGGAGAAAUGAAAGAAUCAGGCAAACUUCCACAAGGCUCAACAAAGAUGUAUCAUCAGUUCUCAAGACCAAAGUCAUGAACUUCUCUGCUCUUCAUCCUGCCUCAAGGUGAGUCUGGUCUCUCUCACCUUACCCUCUAAAACUUGCCUACAAUUAUCUUAACACCAAAAAUUGAGCCUCCAUCACUGUGAGAAGAGCCAUUUAUCCAAACAUAUGCUAAUAAAGUCAUUGUCUCAUUUCAAAUAGUAAUUAGCCUUAAGUGCUUGGUGGUCUGAUUCAAAUAUACCUAUUCAAAGUUUCAGUCCUCUACAUCUCCCACUUUCUUUUGUUUUAGAAUGCAAGUGGUUAUACCAUCCCUGAUUUUUCUGGGAAUUGAGAACCUAAAAAGGAGGUGAUCACACCCUCCCUGACUUCUCAGGAAGAGAGAUGAAAAACACCAAAGGGAAGUGGGGAGUCAAAGCAUAUAUUAUUAGCAGGUUUCUGGGCUGAAGGGUAUUUCUAGAAACAGGU
Molecule: non-coding RNA, 973 nt
Filed under: Sarcophilus harrisii (Tasmanian devil)
Lineage: Eukaryota; Metazoa; Chordata; Mammalia; Dasyuromorphia; Dasyuridae
Description: Eukaryotic large subunit ribosomal RNA
Rfam family: Eukaryotic large subunit ribosomal RNA
Source: Rfam by way of RNAcentral